UGAUCACUUGAAAUGUUUUCUGGGGCAAAGAGCAGGAAGCUGCUGGCUUUUUCUGCCAGCUCUGCUCCGUUUGAGGAAUGCUGUUGGUAGGUCUGAGGUUAUCAGAAAGACGGCGAUUUGGCUGGGGACAGAGACAAAGGGGAUGGAGAGACUCAGAGAACAGAAUCAGGCUCACAGAAGCCAGGCAGAGUGUGUCGGUGAUAAAGCUGGCCUCAAAGGAGAGGAAGGGCUGACCCGGCUCCCUUCCCCAGGCACCUCGCCGCCGAGGCCUGGCCUCAUGGAAAUGGCUCUCCGCUCCCGCUGGCCAGCAGCCAGGCCAACAGCAGCCUCGGCAGGCUGCAUCCCCAGAUAGCCUCUUCACGGACUAGGAAAGCAAGUGUACUUGGGAGUUAUCUGCCUUAAGCUAGCAGCAGGCCGCCCCAUCCGUUAGGGGAGGCGGGCGGGAUUGAGGCAGGGAAGUGUUUUAAAUAUCUUUUGUUUUGUUCCUUUUCGGCCAAUCGGAACCGAGGCCAACUUCGGGCAGGGUGACAGAAGGGCUCACCUUCAGAUCAUGGACCUGAAGGAGUCAUGUUACAGCCACAAAGAGACCCGUGGCGAUGUCGGGAGACGUUUUAGGUUGUCCGAUCUGGAGGAAGGGCGGGUGCUACUGAGAUCCAGAAGGUACAGACCAGGAAUGCUGCCAAACACAGGGCAGCCCCCCCCCCCACACACACACACACAACCGAAAACUAGCCAGCCCCAAGUAUCCCUAGUGCCUUGAGGCUGAGAAAGCCUGCCCCAAACUGAGAGCUUCACCAAGGCAGAGGCUUGUCCGAAUUCUUCACCACGGUGCCCUCAGUCUAACGCUGUGUGUCAGAGCUCAAUUAAUUAAACACCAUUUCCCACCAGGACAGGUGCACUACUCUCCUAUCCGAGCCCCCUGUAUCUGCCCUUGGCACAUGCUUGUGGGGAGAAGGAUGUGUGGGAAGAAACUGGGGAUUUGUACACACACACACACACACACACACACACAAAGAGGCUGCAGGCCUUUGAAAAGAAGUCAGACCUCGGCCCUCCUCUGCUCAAAAACCAUCAACAGAUUCCCACCUCAUUCAGAGUAAGAGCCCAAGUGCUAAAAAUGGCCCACUGGAUCAGUGCCCUGCUCUGGAUCCCUGACUCCUUGUCCUGCCUAACCUUAGCCUCGGGGCCUUUCCCCUUGAUCUCCCACAGCCCCUCCCCCCAGCCCACCUUCCUGGUCCCCAAACCACCUAACACAAGCCCUUUUCCCUCCUCAGGGUAUCAGCCUUCCCGCCUUCUCUUCUGCGUACCCCCUCCCUGCUCCCUCCCGGAUGCCUCCCCAUCAGAACCCUGGUUCCGUGGCCAGCCCUCUUUUUACACUUUAACCUUUUCUCUUUCUUUCCAUAUCAAGAGGCAGAACUGUGCAGUGAUUGAGUACGUGGCAGCUGGCCUCAGACUGUCUGACGUCUGGGUGUGAAUCCAGCUGUCCCACUGGCCUGGGCAGCUAGGCUGGGCAGCCUUGCUUGAGGUAUGAAAUUCUUUGGGACUUGAUUUCCUCAUCUGUACAAUGGGAGCCAUAAUAAUACUGAUAAUAAUGCCCACCUGGAAAUUCACUGACUCCGUGUUGUCAAGCACGGGUAGCCACACGCACAGUGAGCACUCAGGAGGUUGCAAUUAGGAUUUCCCUCUGCUCACUCUUAAAAAGGUAAUUUCUGAAUGCCUCCAAGUCAUUUCUCUUCCUUUUCUCAACAUCGGACGUCCCAAAGAAGCACAAGGAUACAUCCUGGUAGCUGGCACGUUCUAAGC
This is a long non-coding RNA of Acinonyx jubatus (cheetah), 1803 nucleotides long. RefSeq lists it as uncharacterized. The record is from RefSeq and is a predicted model, not a curated record. Lineage: Eukaryota; Metazoa; Chordata; Mammalia; Carnivora; Felidae. The transcript is spliced from 3 exons.